AUUGAACGCUGGCGGCAGGCCUAACACAUGCAAGUCGAGCGGAUGAAGGGAGCUUGCUCCUGGAUUCAGCGGCGGACGGGUGAGUAAUGCCUAGGAAUCUGCCUGGUAGUGGGGGAUAACGUCCGGAAACGGGCGCUAAUACCGCAUACGUCCUGAGGGAGAAAGUGGGGGAUCUUCGGACCUCACGCUAUCAGAUGAGCCUAGGUCGGAUUAGCUAGUUGGUGGGGUAAAGGCCUACCAAGGCGACGAUCCGUAACUGGCCUGAGAGGAUGAUCAGUCACACUGGAACUGAGACACGGUCCAGACUCCUACGGGAGGCAGCAGUGGGGAAUAUUGGACAAUGGGCGAAAGCCUGAUCCAGACAUGCCGCGUGUGUGAAGAAGGUCUUCGGAUUGUAAAGCACUUUAAGUUGGGAGGAAGGGCAGUAAGUUAAUACCUUGCUGUUUUGACGUUACCAACAGAAUAAGCACCGGCUAACUUCGUG
RNAcentral lists this ribosomal RNA (484 nucleotides) under uncultured bacterium. RNAcentral's name for it is "partial 16S ribosomal RNA". It matches the Rfam family "Bacterial small subunit ribosomal RNA", at positions 30 to 507 of the family's 1533-position model. The record is from RNAcentral.